Lycium barbarum (goji berry) is the source of this 1266-nucleotide long non-coding RNA. RefSeq lists it as uncharacterized. The record is from RefSeq and is a predicted model, not a curated record. The transcript is spliced from 3 exons. Lineage: Eukaryota; Viridiplantae; Streptophyta; Magnoliopsida; Solanales; Solanaceae.
CUUCAGUAAAAUUUCGGACCCGAUUUUAGUCUAUAUUGUAGGAGGCAUAUCUCCUUGAAUAUGAGGAGUUUUAAGGUGUUUCAAAAGCCUAAAAUGAAGUUCAUCGAGUCUAGUUUGUAAUGCAACAAACCGCUCGUCAAAAUGAUAUCGGGAUAAGGAGAUAUGGACGAUGCAAGUUGGGCUGGCAGGGCAGCAAGUUUGGACCCGACCCAAACACUCACAUUUCGGCCCAUGAGGCCCAUUAAACUCAAUAGAUAAGUCACCACUUUGCCCUAUAUCAUUUCACACGACCUAAAACAGAUCCAAAACCCUUAUUUUCUCUCCCAAACCCCCUUUCUAAUUGAGCCAUCAUAUAAGCUAAAUCCUAGACCCUUGACAUGAUAUUAGUUAAAGAGAAGUUGUAGCUUAAGUUUUUUUUUGUGUUGUUAAGCAAGCAGCUGGAAAGAGGAACAAGAUUCUUGAAGAUUCUGAUUGCUAAAGGUAAUUUCAACCUCCCACUCAUGUUAUCAAUUUGGAUUAAAGGUUUAAUAUGGUGUAUACGUGAAGGAAACGUUGAUAUACAAGCUAGAGAGAGAGAGAGAGCAUAAGCCAUGGCAUUCGGCCAUGGCUAGCAAAAUUGGAGCUCAAAUUUGUUGAUCCAAAAAUCAGAUUUUCUAGGUAUUUCAGCCCUUAGGAAGGUGAUAAUAACGUGGAGAAUUCAUUUGGAGCAACAAGAACAAGUAUUAGUUCAUUUCACAAAUUCUAGCUAAGUGGAAAAAGCCAACUUGUUAAGACCUUGGGGAGCCCGAGGCGUAGAUUGGAAUUUACUUUAGAUUGGCUAUCUUGGAGUGCGUACGAGGUACCGACGACAGGUUUGCUGAUCCGUCCGUCUAGGAUAUCUUUUCUGCCAUUUGGAGCGCUCUUUUAUUCAGAGCCCAUCUUUUGGUACAGUCUGUCACUACUGUAUAUAUAUAUUCUCGUUCAUGGGUACGGCGGGGCCCUGUCCCGUUAUAUGAUUCUGUCGGUCUGUUUAGAGGUCUGUAGACAUGUUUGUGGGUUGGGGUCUUUCUGUACGGAUGCGUGUAUAUGUUGUGUUUGGGCGAUCCCAUUCGCCGCGGCGGCCGGUCCGCAUAUGUUUAAAUGUUGCUUUGUUGGCCCUGGGUGGUCAUUGUUGGUAUUAUCUGUGCGCAGGGUUAAUUUGGAUAGUCUGUAAAACAAAGGAAACUCUGCCGAAAUUUUUCUGGAAAUUAUCUAAAUAUUGAAAUAUAGCCUUGUCGGCUUCUGCUA